Molecule: long non-coding RNA, 4419 nt
Filed under: Homo sapiens (human)
Lineage: Eukaryota; Metazoa; Chordata; Mammalia; Primates; Hominidae
Description: HSALNT0331765
Source: RNAcentral
CUCUUUUUGAUUUGAUUUGAUUCUCUGCUUGGUCGCUGUUGGUGUAUAGAAGAGCUACUGAUUUGUGUACAUUAAUCUCAUAUCUAGAAACACUGCUAAAUUAUUUUAUCAGUUCUAGGAGCUUUCUGGAGGAGUCCUUAGGGUUUUGAAGGUAAACAAUCAUUUCAUCAGCAAACAGUGGAAAAUGAGCUUAUAUAUGAAGAAGUCAGCGAGUGGACAAAGCCAGGCGCAAUGGAUAGCAAAGAUGUGGAAGUCUCCUCGAUUCAAGUUACAAGAAAACCGCAGCAUGGAGUCUGCUCUCAGCUGUUGGGGAAUUACCGAUGCCUUUGACUAAGUCAAGACUGACUUUUCCAGAAUAUCACCCAAGAGAUAGAGCCGUCCCUGUCCAAGUUUGUGCGCUAGCCCUUCAUGGAGGUCAGAGAGGAAGAAACAAAGGCAGCUGUGGCCUCGGCGGUCACAGUGUCAGAACGCACAAGCCCCAUAAAGAGGUUUCACGCAGGCCACCCAUCCCUUUUCAUUCUCCAGCAGAACAGGACAGAGAGCGUUCUGUUCUGCGGAAGGUCUUCCACUCUACAAGGCAAUCCCUCCAGCUGCUUUGCUGUAUUGUGCUGUCUCCUGUCACACUAUGAAUGCAGUGACCUCAGCCAGCAACAGGGAGAACCCCCCUGCCUCCCGAACAAAGGACCUCACGUGAAAUCCUGAGCUCAGAGCUUACAGAUAUGUGUGCGCUUUCACUUUACAUCGGCCGUGACUUCCAAACAACUUCAGGAAACUUUAGGAUCUCUGAGGUAUACUGGAGAUGACAGCAGCGUAGAAUGUUCAUUUGGAUUUAGAACAGAAAUGCUUAUUUUAUAUUUGGCUGCUCCCAAACUGUCCCCAGACUUCCUCUCCAGUGGUUACCCUCCACUGCCCUGGAUGUCCCACGUUUACACUCCACACUCACACCUCCACCUUAACAAAGUCCUCCACUGGGUCAAACCAUACAUCGCUUCGUCUCUGUAGUGAUGACUUCCUGUCCUCUGCUCUGUGGAUAAAGACCCCAGAUAAAGAUGCCUGUGUUGCUCAACUCUUGUAAAUACUCUUGAGACAUUUUGAAAGCAGAAGGAAAGGAGACAGACGGGGAAAAUAAAAGGGAUGGUCUGCUUGUGCGGAAACGUUUUGAGAAUGCCCUUCCCUAAGAGAGAACAGUAAAAGUGAGCAAUACUUCCUGAGCUGUGGGUUCAUAUGGCUGGACUGUGCUGUUUCUCACGGGAGAAGUUCUCGUCUCCCCUGCGUGUACAUCCCUGUUUGCCAGCCUGGCCUUCGGUGUGGUGAUAUCAUGGUGCACUCCCAGGAGGGAAGUGCUUGGUCAAGACUUCUGCUUGGGUUCGACUAUCAGUUCUGGUUUCCUUUAAGGCACAGGAUCUUCCCUUUAAGGCACAAACACCCCCUUGACACAAACCUGGACUUCGGUGUGGUGAUAUCAUGGUGCAUUCCCAGGAGGGAAGUGCUUGGUCAAGACUUCUGCUUGGGUUCGACUGUCGGUUCUGGUUUCACAUGCACUGUGUGAACACGCUUCAUACAGAGGGUCAGCACCGCACUGUGUGAACAUGUGUUAUACAGAGAGUCAGCACCGCACCGCGUGAACAUCCUUCAUACAGGUCAGCACUGCACCAUGUGAACACACUUCAAACAGAGAGUCAGUACUGCACCAUGUGAACAUGCUUCAUACAGAAGAUCAGCACCUCACUCUGUGAACAUGUGUCAUACAGAAGGUCAGCACUGCACUGUGUGAACACGCUUCAUACAGAAGGUCAGCACCGCAUUGUGUGAACAUGUGUCAUACAGAGAGUCAGCACCGCACCGUGUGAACACGCUUCAUACAGAGGGUCAGCACCGCAUUGUGUGAACAUGCUUCAUACAUGAGGUCAGCACCUCAUUGUGUGAACACACUUCAUACAGAGUCAGCACUGCACUACGUGAACAUGCUUCAUACAGAGGGUCAGCACCUCACUGUGUGAACAUGUGUCAUACAGAGAGUCAGCACUGCACCGUGUGAACAUGCUUCAUACAGAGGGUCGGGUCAGCACCGCACUGUGUGAACAUGCUUCAUGCAGAGAGUCUGUCCUGCACCAGGUGAACACGCUUCAUACAGAGAGUCAGCACCGCACCGUGUGAACACGCUUCAUACAGAGGGUCAGCACCGCACUGUGUGAACACACUUCACACAGAGGGUCUGUACCACAUUCCGUCAACAUGUGUCAGCACCAUACCAUGUGAACACGCUUGGUACAGUGAUAUACAUGCAUGUGGCAGAGCUGUGAAAUUAUGACCUGCUGCAGACAGACUUUGUACACUGUGCUAUCAGCCAACUGGGCAAAUGUGGACAAGAGUCCCUGCAUGUCUCUAUUCACCAGGUGUCUGUCAAAUGAAAUGGGCUGAACUGGAUAAUGGCAGGUCUGACCCAUGAUUACUGCCUGUAAGAGCUGAGUUAUCCCAGAGUGUAGGCGUGGGAUAUUAAAAUAUAUAUAUAUGCAAAUAUAUUUGGGCUGGGUUUGGUGGGUCAUGCCUGUAAUCCAGCACUUUGGGAGGCUCAGGCAGGCGGAUAACCUGAGGCCAGGAAUUCAAGACCAGCCUGGCCAACAUGGUGAAACCCCGUCUCUACAAAAAAAUACAAAAAAUUGGCCAGGCACGGUGGCUCACGCCUAUAAUCCCAACACUUUGGGAGGCCGAGGUGGGCAGAUCACCUGAGGUCAGGAGUUUGAGACCAGGCUGGCCAACAUAUAGUGAAACCCCAACUCUACUAAAAAAAUACAAAAAUUAACUGGGAGUGGUGGCAAACGUCUGUGGUCCCAGCUACUUGGGAAGCUGAGGCAGGAGAAUCGCUCAAACCCGGGAGGUGGAGGUUGCAGUGAGCCGAGAUACCGCCACUCCACUCCAGCCUGGGUGACAGAUCAAGACUCCAUCUCUCAAAAAAACAAGAACAAAAACAAAAAACAACAACUUAGCCGGACGUGGUGGUGGGUGCCUGUAAUCUCAGCUACUCAGGAGGCUGAGGCACAAGAAUCCCUUGAACCUGGGAGGUGGAGGUUGCAGUGAGCAGAGAUCUCACCAUUGCACUCCAGCCUGGGCAACAAGAGCGAAACUCCAUCUCAAAAAAUAAAUAAAUAAAUAAAUAAUAAAUAAAAAUAAAAAUAUAUUUGGUCUUAGUCCUUGGUUCCUGGCACAGAGCUUCAAAAAUUCCUGGAAUUUCCUGAGUGAUAAGGAUGUCUGUUUAUUUGUAAAGCGCUCCUUCUGACCAUGCCUGAGCUUAUGCCAGUGAGGUGCCUCAAAGUGGGCCUUUAGAGAGCUUCAAGAGAGGGGCUGGCCAUGCCAGAGAGAUCAAGUCCAUAUUUAAAGGGCUAGAACGUUCAGCCCCACCCGACCUCUGCAGAGGGGAGAGGGAUUGGGCACUGAGUUCAUUCCUGCUUACAUGGCUAACUUUUAUUUGUCCCUCUCUCUCUCUCUUUUAAAAUGAGUAUAGGGACCUGAAACAGUGGCUGACACAUGCCUGUAAUCCUAGUGCUUUGGAAGGCCGAAGUGGGAGGAUCACGUGAGCACAGGAAUUUGAGACCAGCUGGGGCAACAUAGCAAGACACUGUCUCUACAAAAAAAAAAAAAAAAAAAAAAAAUUAACCAGGCACAGUGGCAUGUACACCUGUAGUCUCAGCUACUCAGGAGGCUGAGGCAGAAGGAUCACUUGAGCCCAGGAGGUCCAGGCUAUAGUGAGCUAUGAUGGCACCACUGCAUUCCAGCCUGGGUGACAGAAAAAGACUCUGUCUCUAGAAAGAAAAAAAAAGAGGACUUAAAUUUUUACAUUUUAGCUAUAACUUACUGAAACUCUAAGUAGCCUUGAAAUUCAUAAUAUCAUAAACAGGCUGGGCGCGGUGGCUCAUACCUCUAAUCCCAGCACUUUGGGAGGCCGAGGUGGGUGGAUCAUCUGAGGUCCGGAGUUCGAGACCAGCCUGGGCAACAUGGCGAAACCCUGUCUCUACUAAAAAAUACAAAAAAUUAUCCCAGCUACUUGGGAGGCUGAGGCAGGAGAAUUGCUAGAACCUGGGAGACGGAGGUUGCAGUGAGCUGAGAUCACGCCACUGCAUUCCAGCCUGGGCAACAGAGCAAGACUUGGUCUCAAAAAAGUAAAAUAAAAAUUAAAAACUAUUAAAAAACAUAUACUGAGGAGAGAGUACUUAAGGAAAUGAAAUGAGUUACAUAUUCUGCUCUGCUUUUCCUGUAAAGGAAAUGUCAGAAGAGUCGGGGAAAGGGUCCCAAAGGCUGUCCCCUGGCAGAUCCCCAGGUCAACACUUGGGGUGGGAGCUGAGAACCCUGGUGUGGAGCUCAGGUCUGAGCCAUCCCCUACAAUGCAGCUGUUACACAGAGUCCUACAUCAAGGCUCCCAGG